AAGGGCAAACCCGGGGAAAUCCGGGGACGCAAAGCUAUGGGGACUAAACCGCGGAAGCGGCAGGUCAGCCCGGCUGCCGG
This 80-nucleotide non-coding RNA is filed under the name bovine gut metagenome. RNAcentral's name for it is "Cyclic di-GMP-I riboswitch". It matches the Rfam family "c-di-GMP-I riboswitch aptamer". From Rfam's summary of the family: GEMM was predicted in a large-scale screen for bacterial structured RNA regulatory elements. Genes associated with GEMM are involved in a diverse array of functions, including chemotaxis regulation, signal transduction, secretion and chitin. The record is from RNAcentral.